RNAcentral lists this long non-coding RNA (319 nucleotides) under Elaeis guineensis (African oil palm). RNAcentral describes it as "long non-coding RNA (EGUI_LNC000167)". Lineage: Eukaryota; Viridiplantae; Streptophyta; Magnoliopsida; Arecales; Arecaceae. The record is from RNAcentral.
AUGGAGGGUACGAUUUCGAAGCUGUUCAAACCCUUGGUGGUGCAGCUUGGUAGUAACAUGUUACCAGAGCUUAAAAAGAUCGGCACAAAGAACCUCGGAGAGACGGGCUUGGUUUUCUUUAGCUUAGAUAGAUUUAAGGAGCACUGAAAGAUCGGCAAUCCAUAGGAACCACUUCUCUUCUUCCUUCUCUUCUUCCAUGCCUAUUGGUGAUGGAUGACAAUAUUGAUGUCUUUGCUACUUUAUAAAUUUUGCAUGAUUUCUAACAAAAGUUUAUGAUCACUUACAUAAUUUGGUUAUUCAUUGGAUUUGUAGGCCAAGC